RNAcentral lists this ribosomal RNA (253 nucleotides) under uncultured bacterium. RNAcentral's name for it is "partial 16S ribosomal RNA". It matches the Rfam family "Bacterial small subunit ribosomal RNA", at positions 524 to 776 of the family's 1533-position model. The record is from RNAcentral.
UACGUAGGGACCGAGCGUUGUCCGGAUUCAUUGGGCGUAAAGAGCUCGUAGGCGGCCACUCAAGUCGAAUGUGAAACCUCGAGGCUCAACCUCGAGCCUGCAUUCGAUACUGGGCGGCUAGAGUCUGGUAGGGGGAUCUGGAAUUCCUGGUGUAGCGGUGGAAUGCGCAGAUAUCAUGAGGAACACCGGUGGCGAAAGCGGAUACCUGGAAGAUUCCUGACUCUGAAACACGAAAGCUAGGGGAGCAAACGGG